This is a small nuclear RNA of Peromyscus maniculatus bairdii (prairie deer mouse), 107 nucleotides long. The record is from Ensembl. NCBI's taxonomy places the organism in Eukaryota, Metazoa, Chordata, Mammalia, Rodentia, Cricetidae.
GUGCUUGCUUCAGCAGCACAUAUACUAAAACUGGAACGAUACAAAAUCAGCAUUGGCCCUGCUCAAGGUGUAUACACACACACACACAUGAAGAGUUCCAUAUUUUA